UUGGAAAAUGGCGCCAUGGAGGGUGAUAGCCCCGUAAAAGUAUCCCUUUUCCUUUUAUCCAUUCCCUCCAAAGAGUCGAGUUGUUUGGGAAUGCAGCUCUAAGUGGGUGGUAAAUUCCAUCUAAAGCUAAAUAUUGGCGAGAGACCGAUAGCGAACAAGUACAGUGAUGGAAAGAUGAAAAGCACUUUGAAAAGAGAGUGAAAAAGUACGUGAAAUUGUUGAAAGGGAAUGGUUUGUUUUCAGACACAACCUCGGUUGGGCCAGCAUCGGAGUGGGGGGAGACAAAAAAGAAAAGGAAUGUAACUCU
RNAcentral lists this ribosomal RNA (307 nucleotides) under Metschnikowia reukaufii. RNAcentral's name for it is "partial 26S ribosomal RNA". It matches the Rfam family "Eukaryotic large subunit ribosomal RNA", at positions 190 to 484 of the family's 3401-position model. Lineage: Eukaryota; Fungi; Ascomycota; Pichiomycetes; Serinales; Metschnikowiaceae. The record is from RNAcentral.